GACGAACGCUGGCGGCGUGCUUAACACAUGCAAGUCGAACGCUGAAGCACCAGCUUGCUGGUGUGGAUGAGUGGCGAACGGGUGAGUAAUACGUGAGUAACCUGCCCUUGACUCUGGGAUAAGCCCGGGAAACUGGGUCUAAUACUGGAUGCUACAUGUCACCGCAUGGUGGUGUGUGGAAAGGGUUUACUGGUCUUGGAUGGGCUCACGGCCUAUCAGCUUGUUGGUGAGGUAAUGGCUCACCAAGGCGACGACGGGUAGCCGGCCUGAGAGGGUGACCGGCCACACUGGGACUGAGACACGGCCCAGACGCCUACGGGAGGCAGCAGGGGGGAAUAUUGCACAAUGGGCGAAAGCCUGAUGCAGCGGCGCCGCGUGAGGGAGGACGGGCUUCGGGUUGGAAACCUCUUUCAGCAGGGAAGAAGCCACAAGUGACGGUACCUGCAGAAGAAGCGCCGGCUAACUACGUG
This 470-nucleotide ribosomal RNA is filed under the name uncultured bacterium. Its description in RNAcentral is "partial 16S ribosomal RNA". It matches the Rfam family "Bacterial small subunit ribosomal RNA", at positions 28 to 507 of the family's 1533-position model. The record is from RNAcentral.